GAUGAAGAACGUAGCGAAAUGCGAUACGUAGUGUGAAUUGCAGAAUUCAGUGAAUCAACGAAUCUUUGAACGCACAUUGCGCCCAUUAGUAUUCUAGUGGGCAUGCCUGUUCGAGCGUCAUUAAGUCCACUUAAGCCCUGCUUAGUGUUGGGAGACUGCUCCAGCGGUGCUACCCUGUAGCUACCCUGCAGCUCCUCAAAGACAGCGGCGGAGUUGUGGUAUCCUCUGAGCUUAGUAACUUGUUCUAGCUUUCGAGUACACCACUUCCCCUGCCGUAAAACCCUUAAUUUUUAAUGGUUGACCUCGGAUCAGGUAGGAAUACCCGCUGAACUUAAGCAUAUCAAUAAGCGGAGGA
Molecule: unclassified non-coding RNA, 355 nt
Filed under: soil metagenome
Description: partial contains 5.8S ribosomal RNA, internal transcribed spacer 2, and large subunit ribosomal RNA
Rfam family: 5.8S ribosomal RNA (bases 1-120)
Source: RNAcentral